CUGAAAGCAUCUAAGCACGAAACUUGCCCCGAGAUGAGUUCUCCCUGAGACUUAGAGUCUCCUGAAGGAACGUUGAAGACGACGACGUUGAUAGGCCGGGUGUGUAAGCGCAGCGAUGCGUUGAGCUAACCGGUACUAAUGAACCGUGAGGCUUAACCUUAC
Molecule: ribosomal RNA, 162 nt
Filed under: Salmonella enterica subsp. enterica serovar Choleraesuis str. 0006
Lineage: Bacteria; Pseudomonadati; Pseudomonadota; Gammaproteobacteria; Enterobacterales; Enterobacteriaceae
Description: partial 23S ribosomal RNA
Rfam family: Bacterial large subunit ribosomal RNA
Source: RNAcentral